GAUGAACGCUAGCGGCAGGCUUAAUACAUGCAAGUCGUGGGGCAGCAUGAGUAGCAAUACUUGAUGGCGACCGGCAAACGGGUGAGGAACACGUACACAACCUUCCUUCAAGCGGGGAAUAGCCCAGAGAAAUUUGGAUUAAUACCCCAUAAUAUAUUUGAUAAGGCAUCUUAUUAAUAUUAAAGCUUCGGCACUUGAUGAUGGGUGUGCGGCUGAUUAGAUAGUUGGCGGGGUAACGGCCCACCAAGUCUACGAUCAGUAGCUGAUGUGAGAGCAUGAUCAGCCACACGGGCACUGAGACACGGGCCCGACUCCUACGGGAGGCAGCAGUAAGGAAUAUUGGACAAUGGACGAAAGUACUGAUCCAGCCAUGCCGCGUGAAGGAUUAAGGUACCUCUGGAUUGUAACUUCUUUUAUAUGGGACGAAAAAGGGCAUUCUUGUUCACUUGACGGUACCAUAUGAAUAAGCACCGGCUAACUCCGUGCCAGC
Molecule: ribosomal RNA, 490 nt
Filed under: uncultured bacterium
Lineage: Bacteria
Description: bacterial SSU rRNA
Rfam family: Bacterial small subunit ribosomal RNA
Source: RNAcentral